Molecule: transfer RNA, 77 nt
Filed under: Deltaproteobacteria bacterium GWC2_65_14
Lineage: Bacteria; Deltaproteobacteria
Also listed under: 5 other names
Description: tRNA-Pro
Rfam family: tRNA
About the family: Transfer RNA (tRNA) molecules are approximately 80 nucleotides in length. Their secondary structure includes four short double-helical elements and three loops (D, anti-codon, and T loops).
Source: RNAcentral
CGGGACGUAGCGCAGCCUGGUAGCGCACUUGCCUUGGGAGCAAGGGGUCGCCGGUUCAAGUCCGGCCGUCCCGACCA